Anolis carolinensis (green anole) is the source of this 1848-nucleotide long non-coding RNA. RefSeq lists it as uncharacterized. The record is from RefSeq and is a predicted model, not a curated record. Lineage: Eukaryota; Metazoa; Chordata; Lepidosauria; Squamata; Anolidae. The transcript has 3 exons.
ACCAGGCAUGAGCAAACUUGGGCCCUCCGGGUGUUUUGGACUUCAACUCCCACAAUUCCUAGCAGCCGGUAGGCUGCUAGGAAUUGUGGGAGUUGAAGUCCAAAACACCCGGAGGGCCCAAGUUUGCAUUGCACCGCCUUGAUGUUCUGCUCCUUCCUUAACCUACAGGCCUCUGCCGCCAUCUUGAGGCCUAGUGGGAAAGAGCAUUGCUUUGUUAUAUUUGGAAGAAAAGGGAAGAAAGGCAGGAACAAGCCAGGAGAGUAAAGACAAAGAUCCACCCAGAGGAAAAGUGUUCUUACCAUACCUCAAGGGAACCUACAUACCUCAAGGGUCCUCCAAGGUGAACUGAACCACCUAAACCAGGCUCUACAGGCCAAUGGAGGCUCCACCACAGACGUUAGAAGAGCUGCAAGGCCAAGAAUAAGCCACUAAAGUAAAGACAAAGAUCCACCCUGAGGAAAAGUGUUCUUACCAUAGCUCAAGGGAACCUACAUAAAAACUCCAACCAUCACCCAGAUAAAAAAAGAAGCACCAUCAAAGACCUGGCAGACCGUACAAAAAGGAGCUGCCAACCCACUGGGUGAACUAAAUCACCUAAACUGGGAUUUACAGGCCAGUGGAGACUCUAUCACAGACAUCAGGAGAGCUGCAAGUGCAAGAACAAGCCAGGAGAGGAAAGACAAAGAUCCACCCAAAGGAAAAGUGUUCUUACCAUACAUCAAGGAAACCACUGACCGCAUAGAGAGGCUGAUGAAGAAAAACAAACUAACUACAGACCCAAUAAGAAAAUCCAACAAAUGCUACAUUCAGCAAAGGACAAGAGGGAUCCUCUCACCUAUACAGGAGUCUACUGUAUACCAUGCAGCUGUGGACAAGUCUACAUAAGGACCACCAAACGAAGCAGGAAAUAAUCAGGGCCAGCAAACACCUCCCAACAAAGGAUUCUCCCAGGCAGGAAGAAGCCAGGCUUUGAAACUGCAAGGCUAUUCAAUGCUAAUCAAGGUGGCCAAUUGCAACAUUCACACUUGCAGCAAACAGACAAGUGGUCUUUCUCCCACCCUGAUAUAUAACCCUCACUUGCCUCGUUUCCAACUGACCUCACAACCUCUGAGGAUGACUGCCAUAGACGUGGGUGAAACUUCAAGAGAGAAUGCUUCUGGAACAUGGCCAUAUAGCCCAGAAAACUCACAGCAACCCGGUUGCUUUAUGUUGUACACUGGGUCUAGUAUGGAUGAAUGCUUGUACCACAAAGGCGUCUACAUGGCUUGAUGGAUCUGGACCAAACCUGGCACAGGCACAGUUUUCUAAGGAUCUGGCAACUGUCCAAGAAGCAUCCCUCUGUAAGAACAUUCCACUAUACAGAAGCUUGUAAAAGGGGGGAGAAAACCGCACACAAAUUCUCAAGAACUGUUCCCACACGAUGCAUUGCCUGCUGAUUACAGUAAUUCAAGGCUCUCUUGAUUCCACCAAGAACCCACAAGUAGUGCGCCUGGGAAGUUAAAGCUGAGAUGGUUAUUCCCUCAAGCUAAAUACAGAAAGGGAGACCAAGCCUAAAAGAAAUGAGAGGCACAUGAGACCUGGGGGAAAUACUGUGUGAGAAUUGAGCUGUGUUAGCAAAAGUAUGUGGACAUAGGCAACAGGUUGAAACUAAAACACUGAUAAUGUCUACAUAGGCUUUGUAAUGAUGAUCAUCAUCAUCAUAAUUAUCACUAAUAUCCUAGGCCCUUGGGAAGAGCCCGAUAGUCAGAGAUGAAUGCCAGACACUUGGACCUAAUGUGCAUGUGUUCUGUGAUGUUAUGUACAUGUAAACAAUGCUAGUAAUAAUAAUAAAUGUACUUUGUCCGGAAA